RNAcentral lists this long non-coding RNA (334 nucleotides) under Elaeis guineensis (African oil palm). Its description in RNAcentral is "long non-coding RNA (EGUI_LNC000278)". Lineage: Eukaryota; Viridiplantae; Streptophyta; Magnoliopsida; Arecales; Arecaceae. The record is from RNAcentral.
GUCUUGUAAAUAUAAAAUUUGUUAAAGAUUAAUCUUAUAGUCCCCAAUUAAACAUUAAUUAUUUUUAUAUCUAAUUACAAUCUUGGCGGGCCAUGUUGUUUUUCAUUUUUCACUACCCACUGCUGUCCUUUCUCUUCCUUUCUCUCAUCGCUCUUCUUUAUGCAUUGCACAUGAUAAAUCCAAGCCUAUUAUAUUAAAGAAAAUAUUAGAGUUUGAUCAUGCAAAGCUGAAUUCAACAACACUAAAAACUAAUGUUCGUUCCAAUGCUAACUUAGUCGAAGAAUGGAAGAGGAGUCUCACUCUAAAUACUCGAAUGAAAAGCCACAAUCCCAAA